UUUUGGUAGGAUUGACAGAUUGAGUGCUUUUCCUUGAUUCGGCAAAUGGUGGUGCAAGUCUGUUUUUAGUUGGUGCAGUGAUUUGUCUGGUUAAUUCCGAUAACGAACGAGACUCUAGCCUAUUAAAUAGGUGCGUGGUUCUCUGCACCUUGCACCCUUCUUUAAAGGACAAGCGGCUCCUAGCCGCACGAAAGAGAGCAAUAAGAGGUCUGUGAUACCCUUAGAU
Molecule: non-coding RNA, 226 nt
Organism: Ixodes scapularis (black-legged tick)
Lineage: Eukaryota; Metazoa; Arthropoda; Arachnida; Ixodida; Ixodidae
Source: Rfam